AAGCAAAAGAAUGUAGUACCUUCUGCAAAAAAACCCUCUAAGUAGUUGAGCACUCAACUUGAGUAAUUGUACCAAAAUUUCCUGUUUUCAACUGUACUCUUCAUAACAAUGUAUAAUUUAUUUUAUUUAUACCCCCUUGCAGACUUUUGAUCAACCUAUUUAUUUAUUAUUUUUUAUUUUGUCCACCCUGAACACAUGUUCCUGCACCAAAACAAAAAAUAAGUCGUGUCCAUUUUUGCUUGGAUAAAUACCACACAAUCAAUAAACAAUAAGUUAAGGCCUUAAUUAAUUUUGUCUUAAAGUUUUCUAUURUAAAAUAUAAUGAAAUGAAAUGGAAUUCCAAAAAUCCAUGUUAGAUUAGACUUAAUUCAUUUUCCCAUAAAGUACUUUUUACCCUUUAAUUUUGUUGGGUUUUAACUUAAUUAAUUAUUUUCCUCCAAUCCUAUGAGUCAUGACUCGUGAACACAUACAUGACACACAUACAAACAGGACAGGACAGUGGCCACACAUAUGGACACACAACACAACAUUUCUGCUUUAGUUAUUCUUUUGUCGAAUUUCACACCUGUUAAGAAGAACUUGAGAGUUAGUCAAAUUAAUAUUUAUCUGUGUUUUAGCUGAUCAUACCACUGCGUCGUGUCUACCUGUCGUAAUUCAUGCACUCUGUCCACACUCCCUGUUACCUGCUGGCUUCUUUCUACCUCCAUGUUGACAUUUCCUCUGGUGAGGUCUGCUUUUGUCCUCUUUUACUACUGAGUAAGAAUUGGGGUAUCAGGCCCUGUCGGCCCACAGGUCUUUUAAACAUACUGAGCGGGACAAAGGCCAUGAAUGAUGUAACUCCUGACAUCAUUAACUACUCGGAUAACAGACGCACAGACUAGACCUCAACAGUCACACUACUUAUAAAUCAGCUCUUUGCUUGUGAAACUAAUAUUCUAAAUACUUAACACAUAAUACAAUGGUACCACAACAACCAUCCAGCAAACUGUAAGAACAUCAACCACCUUCUGCGACUUAACAUGCCAGUUUCUGGCCACUGUUACCCACAAGAACAUCUUACGAACUUUAUCACUUUUUCUUAACUAACAUACCCAUUUCUGCACUCCUAAAGUCUUCUCACGAUCAAACUUGCCUUCCAUUUCUAAAUUAUAUAUUUAUUAACUGUAUUUAUUUUUAGGUGCUUAUUAAUUUAUUUGUUACACUUAAUCAGUUAAGUUAUGCUCACAAUCUCUCACACCAGCGUCCUCUUCAAGCGCACUUCUCAGUCCAGCACACACACCUUUACACAAAGCUACACACGCAGUUCAGUGUACCAGCAGUCAAACAAACAUAAAACACACAAGGGCCCUGUCAGUUUAUUAUGUAAGCCUUAUCACACUCAAAGCACACAUCAGCAGAGAGUCUGCCGAACUUGUCAGCUUCACAAUCACAAGUGAAACUUCUGUUCACUUUUCAAUCACCCCGCUG
Austrofundulus limnaeus is the source of this 1467-nucleotide long non-coding RNA. RefSeq lists it as uncharacterized. The record is from RefSeq and is a predicted model, not a curated record. NCBI's taxonomy places the organism in Eukaryota, Metazoa, Chordata, Actinopteri, Cyprinodontiformes, Rivulidae. The transcript has 2 exons.